This is a long non-coding RNA of Cebus imitator (Panamanian white-faced capuchin), 682 nucleotides long. RefSeq lists it as uncharacterized. The record is from RefSeq and is a predicted model, not a curated record. Lineage: Eukaryota; Metazoa; Chordata; Mammalia; Primates; Cebidae. The transcript has 2 exons.
GUUAGUCAGGAGUCUCGAUCUCCUGACCUCGUGAUCCACCCAUCUUGGCCUCCCAAAGUGCUGGGAUUACGCACCUGGCCAUGUCACUGCUUCUUUAGAGAACAGUAUGGACAAAGAUUUUCUAUAUCCAGUGAUUACUUGGCAAACUCAAAAUCCACUGCAACUUGAAGAAACGAACUUCAUCUCAGCAGCAGGAACCUGAUGAGAUGUUAGGUUAGUCAUGUGUGGCCUCCCCUGUCUUGCAGAGGUCCUUCCUCUUUCAGACACUCCAUCACUUUCUUACCUGCUGGAUCAUCUCUGGAUGCUGCUGCAUGAUGUGCAGAAAGCGGUCGCUCUCCUGGUUCAGGGGUGUGGUCCUCUUCUUGGUGCUACGUGACAGCUGCUUGAAGAGGUAUGUCACUAUGUGGUCCAGGCAGGAGCAGCAGCCUGUGCAUACCAUGGUGUCUGCAAGAAAUAAAGGUAGGAGUAGGACAGAGCUGCUGAAGGUGACCUGGGCAAAUAUGGACUAUCUAUCUUUGGCUGACAUCCACUAAGGUCCGUCCUGUGGCCAAUUCAGCCAAGGCCACUGCUCAGGAGGACUCCUUGUUAACCUCUUACCCUCAUCGUACAGCUGGGCUCAAUUUCUAAGUUUGAAAGUGAAUAUUGGAAAUUAUAUAUAAAUAAAGAAUACUGAAAUUACUGU